Molecule: ribosomal RNA, 616 nt
Filed under: uncultured bacterium
Lineage: Bacteria
Description: bacterial SSU rRNA
Rfam family: Bacterial small subunit ribosomal RNA
Source: RNAcentral
CCUACGGGAGGCAGCAGUGGGGAAUUUUGGACAAUGGGCGAAAGCCUGAUCCAGCAAUGCCGCGUGAGUGAAGAAGGCCUUCGGGUUGUAAAGCUCUUUUGUCAGGGAAGAAACGGUGAGAGCUAAUAUCUCUUGCUAAUGACGGUACCUGAAGAAUAAGCACCGGCUAACUACGUGCCAGCAGCCGCGGUAAUACGUAGGGUGCAAGCGUUAAUCGGAAUUACUGGGCGUAAAGCGUGCGCAGGCGGUUUUGUAAGUCUGAUGUGAAAUCCCCGGGCUCAACCUGGGAAUUGCAUUGGAGACUGCAAGGCUAGAAUCUGGCAGAGGGGGGUAGAAUUCCACGUGUAGCAGUGAAAUGCGUAGAUAUGUGGAGGAACACCGAUGGCGAAGGCAGCCCCCUGGGUCAAGAUUGACGCUCAUGCACGAAAGCGUGGGGAGCAAACAGGAUUAGAUACCCUGGUAGUCCACGCCCUAAACGAUGUCUACUAGUUGUCGGGUCUUAAUUGACUUGGUAACGCAGCUAACGCGUGAAGUAGACCGCCUGGGGAUACGGUCGCAAGNUUAAAACUCAAAGGAAUUGACCGGNUGAGAGNGCGAGACGACGACGAGGGAGAGG